CGAGAGACCUUCGGGUCUCUAGUGGCGAACGGGUGAGUAACACGUAGGGAACCUGCCCGCGCACCGGGAAUACGCUCUGGAAACGGAGAACAAAUCCCGAUGUACAGGAAGGAGGCAUCUUCUUUCUGUGAAACAUCCUCCAGGGGAUGGGGCGCGGAUGGACCUGCGGUGCAUUAGUUUGUUGGCGGGGUAAAGGCCCACCAAGACGAUGAUGCAUAGCCGGCCUGAGAGGGCGGACGGCCACAUUGGGACUGAGACACGGCCCAGACUCCUGCGGGAGGCAGCAGUAGGGAAUUUUCGUCAAUGGGCGCAAGCCUGAACGAGCGAUGCCGCGUGAGUGAAGAAGGCCUUCGGGUCGUAAAGCUCUGUUGCGGGGGAAAAAAGGCAGCAUCAGGAAAUGGGUGCUGACUGAUGGUGCCCCGCCAGAAAGUCACGGCUAACUACGUGCCAGCAGCCGCGGUAAUACGUAGGUGGCGAGCGUUAUCCGGAAUGAUUGGGCGUAAAGGGUGCGCAGGCGGUCCUGCAAGUCUGGAGUGAAACGCAUGAGCUCAACUCAUGCAUGGCUUUGGAAACUGGAGGACUGGAGAGCAGGAGAGGGCGGUGGAACUCCAUGUGUAGCGGUAAAAUGCGUAGAUAUAUGGAAGAACACCAGUGGCGAAGGCGGCCGCCUGGCCAGUUGCUGACGCUGAGGCACGAAAGCGUGGGGAGCAAAUAGGAUUAGAUACCCUAGUAGUCCACGCCGUAAACGAUGAGGACCAAGUGUUGGGGGU
This 770-nucleotide ribosomal RNA is filed under the name uncultured bacterium. RNAcentral describes it as "bacterial SSU rRNA". It matches the Rfam family "Bacterial small subunit ribosomal RNA", at positions 67 to 830 of the family's 1533-position model. The record is from RNAcentral.